CAGAGGGGGAAGGCCUGAACAGGCCGAAAAGCCAGCCGGUUGGGCAUCAGUGGAGGUCAGCAGGGGGGAGAGGGGACCUAUGUGGACCCCCCCCCCUGUUGCCUCCAACAACUUCCCUGGAGGGGGGCAGCUUACAGGAUUCGUUCCACCUUCCAUUUUAUCUGAACACUCUUGCUGCCAGAAGUGCUGCCACCCACCUAAAAUGCUGAGGCGACUGCUGGUGGUUCAAGUCUCUCAUUUGGAAUCUCUGCUCUACACUGCAAUCCAGCAAGCCCUC
Molecule: long non-coding RNA, 277 nt
Organism: Hemicordylus capensis (graceful crag lizard)
Lineage: Eukaryota; Metazoa; Chordata; Lepidosauria; Squamata; Cordylidae
Exons: 3
Source: RefSeq, a predicted model, not a curated record